CCUACGGGUGGCAGCAGUAAGGAAUAUUGGACAAUGGACGCAAGUCUGAUCCAGCCAUGCCGCGUGAAGGAUGAAGGUCCUCUGGAUUGUAAACUUCUUUUAUAUGGGACGAAAAAAGGGAAUUCUUUCCCUCUUGACGGUACUGUAUGAAUAAGCACCGGCUAACUCCGUGCCAGCAGCCGCGGUAAUACGGAGGGUGCAAGCGUUAUCCGGAUUCACUGGGUUUAAAGGGUGCGUAGGCGGGUAUGUAAGUCAGUGGUGAAAUCCCGGAGCUUAACUCUGGAACUGCCAUUGAUACUAUAUAUCUUGAAUAUUGUGGAGGUUUGCGGAAUAUGUCAUGUAGCGGUGAAAUGCAUAGAUAUGACAUAGAACACCUAUUGCGAAGGCAGCAGGCUACACAUAUAUUGACGCUGAGGCACGAAAGCGUGGGGAUCAAACAGGAUUAGAUACCCCAGUAGUC
RNAcentral lists this ribosomal RNA (460 nucleotides) under uncultured Bacteroidota bacterium. RNAcentral's name for it is "bacterial SSU rRNA". It matches the Rfam family "Bacterial small subunit ribosomal RNA", at positions 338 to 795 of the family's 1533-position model. The record is from RNAcentral. Lineage: Bacteria; Pseudomonadati; Bacteroidota.